Molecule: long non-coding RNA, 1138 nt
Filed under: Sinocyclocheilus grahami
Lineage: Eukaryota; Metazoa; Chordata; Actinopteri; Cypriniformes; Cyprinidae
Description: lncRNA (ENSSGRG00000017456.1)
Source: RNAcentral
UACCGGGGAAUAGCAAUAUGGCGGUGCGGUGGCUUCACUUCUAUAACAUCAUGAGCAAUUCAGUUCUCUAUUAUAGAUCAGUGGUGUAAACUUAUAAUAAUGGAUUACUAAGGUAACAUGGACUUAACAGACACGCACGCAGCGGCCAUUAAGGCAUCAAGACAUGAUGCAUGCCUAAUAUAUCACUUUACCUCAAACAUCUUAUCGUAGUCCUUGAAAGUCAAACUCGAAAUUGAAAAUACAAUUAGGCCACGUUCACACAGCAGCACGGUUGUCAGUCCUGUAUUUGAGUCCUUAAUACAGUUAUGUUCCCACACAGUUCAGUUAUUUACGGGUGUGACAACCACAUUCUGUAACCGAACUCACACCUGUACAUGUUCGGGACUCACAACCGCAUUCUGUAACCGAACUCGCACCUGUACAUGUUCGGGACUCACAACCGCAUUCUGUAACCGAACUCGCACCUGUACAUGUUCGGGACUCACAACCGCAUUCUGUAACCGAACUCGCACCUGUACAUGUUCGGGACUCACAACCGCAUUCUGUAACCGAACUCGCACCUGUACAUGUUCGGGACUCACAACCGCAUUCUGUAACCGAACUCGCACCUGUACAUGUUCGGGACUCACAACCGCAUUCUGUAACCGAACUCGCACCUGUACAUGUUCGGGACUCACAACCGCAUUCUGUAACCGAACUCGCACCUGUAAAUGUUCGGGACUUACAACCGCAUUCUGUAAGCGAACUCGCACCUGUAAAUAUCCGGGACUCACAACCGCAUUCUGUAACCGAACCCGCACCUGUAAAUGUUCGGGACUCACAACCGCAUUCUGUAACCGAACUCGCACCUGUAAAUGUUCGGGACUCACAACCGCAUUCUGUAACCGAACCCGCACCUGUACAUGUUCGGGACUCACAACCGCAUUCUGUAACCGAACUCGCACCUGUACAUGUUCGGGACUCACAACCGCAUUCUCGGAACACUCGCGCUGUGUGAACUGAACCGGACUGGACAAUAUUGUCUGUCACAUACAGUGCGAGAGAGCUGCUCUGCUGCACCAAUGCGCGUCUACCGUGUGUUAUGUGCUUUUAUGUGUGUUUUCGGUAACUUAAAUGACGGAGAAAUGAGAUGUGUGUC